ACAGCAUAUUUUUAAAUUACAGGGGAGGAGUUAUAAUUUAUACAUAAAAAGUUAUAUUUUGUAAUUAUAGGAAAAUUAGAAAAGGCUUUUUAGAGCAGGAUUAAAUAAUACAAAAGCAAAUCCCUUAGUGAAAUAGUCUUAUAUCAAAAUUUAAAUUUUCUGUACAAGUGACAACAUAACCAAAAUUAACCAUGCCAUUGAUAGCAAACCCCAAAUUGAACUAAGAGGAAACAUAAUUUACAGAAGAAACCAAACCCUAAAGUAUAGGGGAAAAUGCUCAAAAUCAUAAGUAAUUACAGCUGAAUAAAACAAUAAUGACCUAUCGCUUUGCAUUAUUAGGCGGCCAAAAAAAUGUAAACAGUAGGAAGCUGGAUGCUGCUCCGUGUUUGGGGACGCAUGGACACAGGACGGAGCACACGGGACCUGGUGAUGGAGGCUGCCUCAGUCCUGUUCGCAUUUGAACAUCUUUGGCCAAUCCAAGGCUCUGCUGGUACCUGAUUCUCGAUACCAACCUAGAGGCAAUGAAAGUGAGGUCCUGAGGAGGACAAACAUCAUCAUUCAAGGCAUCCACCUCAGUAGGUGAAUGGAUAAACUGUGGAAUACCCAGUGGAAUACUGUUUGGCGAUAAAGGGACUGAGCUACUGAUUCAUGCAUCAACAUGAAGAAAUCUGAAAUACAUUUUGCUGGUUUCUUCAAUAAAUGGUGUUCAGAGAAUUGGACUCCUGUAUACGGAAGAAUGAAACUCAACUAUUCUCUUAUACCAUUCACAAAGAUAAACUCUAAAUGGAUGAAAGACCUCAAUGAGAC
Neogale vison (American mink) is the source of this 807-nucleotide long non-coding RNA. RefSeq lists it as uncharacterized. Lineage: Eukaryota; Metazoa; Chordata; Mammalia; Carnivora; Mustelidae. The record is from RefSeq and is a predicted model, not a curated record. The transcript has 4 exons.